UACGUAGGGGGCUAGCGUUGUCCGGAAUUACUGGGCGUAAAGAGCUCGUAGGUGGUUUGUCGCGUUGUUCGUGAAAACUCACAGCUCAACUGUGGGCGUGCGGGCGAUACGGGCAGACUAGAGUACUGCAGGGGAGACUGGAAUUCCUGGUGUAGCGGUGGAAUGCGCAGAUAUCAGGAGGAACACCGGUGGCGAAGGCGGGUCUCUGGGCAGUAACUGACGCUGAGGAGCGAAAGCGUGGGGAGCGAACAGG
Molecule: ribosomal RNA, 253 nt
Filed under: uncultured bacterium
Lineage: Bacteria
Description: partial 16S ribosomal RNA
Rfam family: Bacterial small subunit ribosomal RNA
Source: RNAcentral